Molecule: ribosomal RNA, 436 nt
Filed under: uncultured Clostridium sp.
Lineage: Bacteria; Bacillati; Bacillota; Clostridia; Eubacteriales; Clostridiaceae
Description: partial 16S ribosomal RNA
Rfam family: Bacterial small subunit ribosomal RNA
Source: RNAcentral
ACGGGAGGCAGCAGUGGGGAAUAUUGCACAAUGGGCGCAAGCCUGAUGCAGCAACGCCGCGUGAGGGAAGACGGUUUUCGGAUUGUAAACCUCUGUCUUUGGUGACGAAGAAGUGACGGUAGCCGAGGAGGAAGCCACGGCUAACUACGUGCCAGCAGCCGCGGUAAUACGUAGGUGGCAAGCGUUAUCCGGAAUUACUGGGUGUAAAGGGAGCGCAGGCGGGAUAGCAAGUCAGCGGUGAAAAUUAUGGGCUUAACUCAUAAACUGCCGUUGAAACUGUUAUUCUUGAGUGGAGUAGAGGCAGGCGGAAUUCCGAGUGUAGCGGUGAAAUGCGUAGAUAUUCGGAGGAACACCAGUGGCGAAGGCGGCCUGCUGGGCUCUAACUGACGCUGAGGCUCGAAAGUGUGGGGAGCAAACAGGAUUAGAUACCCUGGUA